Molecule: ribosomal RNA, 379 nt
Filed under: uncultured eukaryote
Lineage: Eukaryota
Description: SSU rRNA
Rfam family: Eukaryotic small subunit ribosomal RNA
Source: RNAcentral
AGCUCCAAUAACGUAUAUUAAAGUUGUUGCGGUAAAAAGCUCGUAGUUGGAUUUCUGUUGAGGACGACCGGUCCAUACCAUGUAUGCGCAUCUGGCUCGGCCUUGGCAUCCUCUCGAUGGACGUUUCUGCGCUUGAUUGCGUGGUGCGGACUUCGGGACUUUUACUUUGAGGAAAUUGGAGUGUUCACGGCAGGCCUUCGCCAGAACAUAUUAGCAUGGAAUAAUACUAUAGGAUCUUGGUUCUAUUUUGUUGGUUUCUAGAACUGAGGUAAUGAUUAAUAGGGACAAUUGGGGGCAUUCGUAUCAACGCGUCAGAGGUGGAAUUCUUGGAUUGCGUUGCGACGAACUACUGCGAAAGCAUUUGCCAAGGAUGUUUUCA